This 119-nucleotide ribosomal RNA is filed under the name Pteropus alecto (black flying fox). The record is from RNAcentral. Lineage: Eukaryota; Metazoa; Chordata; Mammalia; Chiroptera; Pteropodidae.
GUCCAUAGCCAUGCUACCUUGAAUAAGCCCUAUCCCAUCUGAUCUUGGAAGCUAAACAGGGUUGGGCCUGGUUAGUAUUUAGAUGGGAGACCACCUAGGAAGACCAGGUGCUAUAGGCA